GAGUUUGAUCAUGGCUCAGGAUGAACGCUAGCGGCAGGCUUAAUACAUGCWAGUCGAGGGGCAGCAGCUUUWUAGCAAUAUAGAGGCUGGCGACCGGCAAACGGGUGCGGAACACGUACACAACCUUCCUUGAAUAGGGGGAUAGCCCAUAGAAAUGUGGAUUAAUACCCCGUAAUAUAGCGGUGUGGCAUCACACUGUUAUUAUAGUUUCGGCGAUUCGAGAUGGGUGUGCGGCUGAUUAGGUAGUUGGCGGGGUAAAGGCCCACCAAGCCUUCGAUCAGUAGCUGAUGUGAGAGCAUGAUCAGCCACACGGGCACUGAGACACGGGCCCGACUCCUACGGGAGGCAGCAGUAAGGAAUAUUGGUCAAUGGACGCAAGUCUGAACCAGCCAUGCCGCGUGAAGGAUGAAGGUCCUCUGGAUUGUAAACUUCUUUUAUAGGGGGCGAAAAAAGGUCUUUCUAGAUCACUUGACAGUACCCUAUGAAUAAGCWCCGGCUAACUCCGUGCCAGCAGCCGCGGUAAUACGGAKGGUGCAAGCGUUAUCCGGAUUACUGGGUUUAAAGGGGUGCKUAGC
Molecule: ribosomal RNA, 575 nt
Filed under: uncultured Bacteroidota bacterium
Lineage: Bacteria; Pseudomonadati; Bacteroidota
Description: bacterial SSU rRNA
Source: RNAcentral